AUGGUUAUUACAGAAUAUCUAGCAACUGCAUCCCAAAACUUUUGCUGCUUUUUCCACCGAUCUAGAUCUGAUGCUUGCUCUUUCUCAGGCCUUCGGAGGGGAAGAAGUCCGCGAGCUCAACAGUUUUCCUGCUCUCCCAUAAAGAAACAUGAGGCCCUGUUCUCAACUCGGAUAGACGCCAGCACAGAGAAGUCCUUGGGAAAGCAAGGAAGACUAUCCACCUCGGGUUCAGCACGCAGAUGCACCUUCCCUGCUGCAUGCAAGAAGUAUAACGUAUUUGUUCGUUACAGGAGAGCUCGUAGCUCUUGUCCCUGAGUCAGGUACGGCAUCAAUGCAACAGGCUUUCAGACUCAGGCAUCCAAUUUAGAGACACUCUCAGAGGAAGAUAGAUCAUAAUAUAGACAGUGCAUGUCCAGUACAGUUCCAGCUCUGGAGACAUCAUUCACCAAGUGUUUAAGCCAGCAGAUAAACAGAUUUUGCUAGCAUGCGAGAAAACCGUGUCCAGCCUGACUGCAGGCAAAAGCAGUCAGUGGGCGUUCACUGACCUGCCAUGUGCCUUCUGCAAUUAGUCUGGAAAGUAACCACGACACCUGCUUUGCAAAGGAGCUUCUCUCGGCAGCAGGCUCCAAAGACCGUACGUUUGUCUUCCCGCAAGACUUCAGCCUCGGUGCUGUGGCUGGGGAAGUGAGCGCUCUGCAAUUCCUCCUGGGAACAGAGGACCACUCCUUAAAAUGAGUUUCUUGUGUCUGUUAAAAGGGAAGACAUUUUCUGAGAUUUUUUUAUUUAAGCUAAGAGGAAGAAGGGUUGGGGAGGAUAAGAGUUUUUCAAGUUUUUGAUUAUAAGUUGUUUGGAGGGAGGGAGUGCUCUGUAAAGAGGUGAAAGAAAUGGCCUGGUUUUGGUAUCCUCCUGUGGGCAGGAGCACUGGGCUCCUCCGCUUCCCUUUGUGUGGGCUGGAGGCAGGGGAGCGAGGGGCGGGUGGAAUUCAGCUCCUUAAGAAUUUAAUUCCAAUUUCAUUACAAUUUUUGAUAAGCAGCUGUCGUGUACAGUAGCAGUAAUACACAGUGGACUUUUUGACGGCAAUGCUUGGAAAAAGCAUUGGAAAAAUGGAGAAAAUCCAUUCAUUUGGGUUUCUCCACUGCAAGAGGCAGGCGCUGAGGCCGUUGCAAGCGCUGUGAGUACCAGCAGGCUGUGAGGGCCGGAGGUGGCAGCCCCUUUGUCAAGGACCCACCCGGGACUUCCUGGUCUCUGCACCCAUUCUCGAAAAUAUGGGCAUCAGUGGAGGCAGGGGGCCUCUUCUGAGGCAUGAUAACGAGUAUCCUCAGCCCUCUAAAAAGAGUCCCAAGAGCCUGAUACGCCAUCAUUUCAGGUGAUUCCCUUUUUUUUGUUAGGUCUUUGAGUUAAAAUGCCAGAUUAAGAAAUGCGGCAACUGUUGAUAACAAGUCAGAAAUAGUGAUUAUAGAUUUUAUUGCCAACUUUUUUCUCUGUGACUUUCCUUCUUCCUGUCCGCAUAUAUCCCGAAGGCAAAAGUGUAAUAUCUGAUGUGCCUCUCAGCACUAACAAAUUAAAAAUAUUCGUAUUCUGGAAAACAGGCUGCAGAUGUCAUCUAUGUACUCAGCUGCAGGGAGGCAUGGGAGGGUCUUCUCGUCUCAAAGACCUGCGAAGCCUGAAAGCGGGGGGAGAGUUUAUGUCCCUGUUACGCUUACUGACUGCACCUCCCGUCCCUGCCUUCAGUCUCACAUUGAAUGCAUUUAAAUAUACUCUUAUAAUUAAAAAAUAUAUAGAUAUUUAUGAAGAAUGGAACAGCUUCAGCGGGAGAGAGUGGGAAAGAACUGCCCCAGAAACUCAUACUGCCGGGAGACGAGGGUGUUGAGGCCCUGCUUUGAAAUGAGCAGCGCUGGGAUUUGAAACUAAAUUGCUGCUACCUCAAAGUCCACCCUGAUAAGGGGGGAGAAGCCUGUCCCCUUGUCCCUGCCCGGGGCUGGAAAGCAGCACCUUUAGCUCUUGUACCUCUUACACAGGGAUCUGAAACGCUUUGUUUCAGAAAUACUGAAACAGUGGUUUCCCCCUAUUUAAGGUGUUUUCUUUCUUAUGUGUUUUGUUCUUGUUGUUUUGUGUUUUUAACUUGGCACAGGCUACUCACUGCACUCGGUCUCCAUUCAGAAGUCGCCUCCAAGGACCAGCGAUGACAUUUUGGGGUGGAUGCGCUGUGCCUCCCAUACUCCUACGGGGGUCUGCCCACCUUUCCUUUGGGUCCCCUGGUUCACGCCAGGUUCAACAUGAAAUGAAACCUUCUCUCCUCAUUCCUCCUCAGGACAGUAUGUGACAAGAGCCCAAGACAGCAGAGGAAAUGAGGAACUGUCAAACUGGUUAUUUGAAUCAAUUUUCGUUACUGAGGGGGAGGACUUACUUGAUGGGAUGGAAGAACACUUUGAGGAAUUGGGUUUAUUAACUAGGAAGUUAGGCUAAAAUUGCUGAUACUAGGGCAGGCUGAUGACUCCUUAUUCAUGAGAAUCACCAUAAGAGAGUCUCUCUUGCAUUCCCUAUUAGGGUUAAAAUUGUAUCAAUUAUGAAAGCUGUCAGCCUCUAUAAAUUAAGAAAUUCAUGUGCAGUGUGUGUGAGAGAGUAUUUCAUAUGUUUGACAGGGAAUACAUGACCUUGAAGGGUAAGGAUGUGUGAGGAGUGGUGCUGCAGCAAAAUUUUCUUUAUUUUACAUGGUAAUAAAAUUUUCUGUGCUUUCUGAUGCUCCUGAUUG
Long non-coding RNA from Struthio camelus australis, 2752 nucleotides. The record is from Ensembl. NCBI's taxonomy places the organism in Eukaryota, Metazoa, Chordata, Aves, Struthioniformes, Struthionidae.